CCGGGACCAUCCGGUAAGGCUAAAUACUCCCGAGAGACCGAUAGCGAACCAGUACCGUGAGGGAAAGGUGAAAAGCACUUCGAACAGAAGAGUGAAAUAGUUCCUGAAACCGUGCGCCUACAAGCGGUCGGAGCUCGUUAAUGAGUGACGGCGUGCCUUUUGCAUAAUGAACCUACGAGUUGCCUUUGCCGGCAAGGUUAAGUGUGACGACACACGUAUCCGAAGCGAAAGCGAGUCUGAACAGGGCGUAUAGUCGGCAGUGGCAGACGCGAAACCAAGUGAUCUACCCUUGGCCAGGUUGAAGGCUGGGUAACACCAGCUGGAGGACCGCACCAAUAAGCGUUGAAAAGCUUCUGGAUGAGCUGAGGGUAGGGGUGAAAGGCUAAUCAAACUUGGAGAUAGCUCGUACUCCCCGAAAUGCAUUUAGGUGCAGCCUUGCGGGUUACUGAUGUGAGGUAGAGCGACUGAUAAGAUGCGAGGGCUUCACCGCCUAUCAAGUCUUGACAAACUCCGAAUGCGCAUCAGUUCUACCGCAGGAGUGAGGGCAUGGGUGCUAAGGUCCGUGCCCGAGAGGAGAAGAAUCCGGACCACCUGCUAAGGUCCCGAAAUGACAGCUAAGUUAAACUAACGAAGUCUGACUGCUAAGACAGCUAGGAUGUUGGCUUGGAAGCAGCCAUUCAUUUAAAGAGUGCGUAACAGCUCACUAGUCGAGGAGUCGGGCGUGGAUAAUAAUCGGGUAUGAAGUUGUCUACCGAAGCAGUGGGAUCAUUUAUAUGAUCGGUAGGGGAGCAUUCCAGUCGGCGUCGAAGGCGUACCGUGAGGUAUUCUGGAGCGUCUGGAAAAGCAAAUGUAGGUAUAAGUAACGAUAAAGGGGGCGGGAAACCCCCUCGCCGAAAGACUAAGGUUUCCUGAUCAACGCUAAUCGGAUCAGGGUCAGUCGGGUCCUAAGGCUCAGCCGAACGGCGAUGCCGAUGGCAGAAACGGUUAAUAUUCCGUUACUACCUUCAGGAGUGACGUGGAGACGCAGUAGUGACAGUGCCGCCAUCUGACGGAAUAGAUGGUUGAAGGGUGUAGGAGUCGAUCAUGGCAGGCAAAUCCACCAUGAGAUCCGAACCUGACAGUAUGCCGCGUCCUUCGGGACAAGGCAAUAGUGCGCGUAAGCAUGCUGCCGAGAAAAUCCGCUAAACUUAAUCCUGCAGGUACCCGUACCGCAAACGGACACACGUAGUCGGGAUGAAUAUUCUAAGGCGCUUGAGUGAUUCACGGUUAAGGAACUAGGCAAACUGACCCUGUAACUUCGGGAUAAAGGGUCCCUACCCUUUUAUGGGAGGGCGCAGAGAAUCGGUCCAGGCAACUGUUUAACAAAAACACAGGGCUGUGCCAAAUCGAAAGAUCCAGUAUACAGCCUGACACCUGCCCGGUGCUGGAAGGUUAAGAGGAGAUGUCAUCGAUAAGAGAAGCGUUGAAUUGAAGCCCCAGUAAACGGCGGCCGUAACUAUAACGGUCCUAAGGUAGCGAAAUUCCUUGUCGGGUAAGUUCCGACCUGCACGAAUGGUGUAAUGAUCUGGACGCUGUCUCAACCGUGAGCUCAGUGAAAUUGUAGUAUCGGUGAAGAUGCCGAUUACCCGCGAUGGGACGAAAAGACCCCGUGAACCUUUACUAUAGCUUAUCAUUGAAUCUGGGCACGUGAUGUGUAGGAUAGGUCGGAGGCUUUGAAGCAGGUACGCCAGUAUUUGUGGAGCCGCUGUUGAAAUACGACCCUUUAUUUGUUUGGAUUCUAACCCGUGGAUACGGGGACAUUGAUUGGUGGGUAGUUUGACUGGGGUGGUCGCCUCCAAAAGCGUAACGGAGGCUUCUAAAGGUGCCCUCCGGCCGAUUGGUAACCGGCCUUAGAGUGUAAUGGCAUAAGGGCGCUUGACUGGGAGACUGACAAGUCGAUCAGGUAGGAAACUAGAGCAUAGUGAUCCGGUGUUUCCGUAUGGA
This 1983-nucleotide ribosomal RNA is filed under the name human gut metagenome. RNAcentral describes it as "bacterial LSU rRNA". It matches the Rfam family "Bacterial large subunit ribosomal RNA", at positions 447 to 2437 of the family's 2925-position model. The record is from RNAcentral.